CUCUAGAGUUAGGUUUUUAAAACCUGUCAUAUACAUGUAUGUACUUCAAUCACCACCCAAGAAAGUUCUCUUACCUUGGAUAUUAUUCUGUCUUCAGGCUGUGGAAUUCCAGCAGUCUUUAUACAGCCAGGAUAUCCAUUAUUAGUGCAUUUUGCUGAGUCUUCAGGGCUUAGAGGCUGAACCCCGGCAGGGGUAUUGCCCGGUGAGCAUAAAAAAAAAAAAAUCUAGGCCUGCUUAAGCAGACUCCUUCCAAACUGCUGUGAAAGACAGAAAAAAAGACUGCCUGAUGGGAAGGGGGAGGAUCUAUUUAUACCAAUUUCAAUGUUCUCUUUCCUGUCCUUUCUGCUGUAAGGGGAGGAGCUAACCCAUGAGUAAAUGUUGUUGUUUUUUUUACAGUUUUUUUCAAUUAUAAUGUGUGCAUAAUUAGUGCAGGUUAAGGAAAGU
Molecule: non-coding RNA, 444 nt
Organism: Pelobates cultripes (western spadefoot toad)
Lineage: Eukaryota; Metazoa; Chordata; Amphibia; Anura; Pelobatidae
Source: the annotation of a GenBank genome assembly